RNAcentral lists this ribosomal RNA (240 nucleotides) under uncultured eukaryote. RNAcentral's name for it is "partial 18S ribosomal RNA". It matches the Rfam family "Eukaryotic small subunit ribosomal RNA", at positions 1208 to 1456 of the family's 1831-position model. The record is from RNAcentral.
GGGAACCUCACCCGGCCCGGACACCGCGAGGAUUGACAGACUGAGAGCUCUUUCUCGAUUCGGUGGGUGGUGGUGCAUGGCCGUUCUUAGUUGGUGGAGCGAUCUGUCUGGUUAAUUCCGAUAACGAACGAGACCCCAACCUGCUAACUAGCCCUCGGGUCCUGCUUCUGUUGGGCCCGACGGAAUGAUUCGCUUCUUAGAGGGACUCGCGGAGCCUAGCCGCACGAAGGGGGGCGAUAA